RNAcentral lists this ribosomal RNA (496 nucleotides) under uncultured bacterium. RNAcentral's name for it is "partial 16S ribosomal RNA". It matches the Rfam family "Bacterial small subunit ribosomal RNA", at positions 28 to 507 of the family's 1533-position model. The record is from RNAcentral.
GACGAACGCUGGCGGCGUGCCUAAUACAUGCAAGUAGAACGCUGAAGAGAGGAGCUUGCUCUUCUUGGAUGAGUUGCGAACGGGUGAGUAACGCGUAGGUAACCUGCCUUGUAGCGGGGGAUAACUAUUGGAAACGAUAGCUAAUACCGCAUAACAAUGGAUGACACAUGUCAUUUAUUUGAAAGGGGCAAUUGCUCCACUACAAGAUGGACCUGCGUUGUAUUAGCUAGUAGGUGAGGUAAUGGCUCACCUAGGCGACGAUACAUAGCCGACCUGAGAGGGUGAUCGGCCACACUGGGACUGAGACACGGCCCAGACUCCUACGGGAGGCAGCAGUAGGAAUCUUCGGCAAUGGGGGCAACCCUGACCGAGCAACGCCGCGUGAGUGAAGAAGGUUUUCGGAUCGUAAAGCUCUGUUGUAAGUCAAGAACGGGUGUGAGAGUGGAAAGUUCACACUGUGACGGUAGCUUACCAGAAAGGGACGGCUAACUACGUG